GUGGCUAUAGCUCAGCUGGUAGAGCGCCUGACUGUGGAUCAGGUGGUCGUGGGUUCAAAUCCCACUAGCCACCCCA
This 76-nucleotide transfer RNA is filed under the name Thermosipho melanesiensis. RNAcentral's name for it is "tRNA-His". It matches the Rfam family "tRNA". Rfam says of the family: Transfer RNA (tRNA) molecules are approximately 80 nucleotides in length. Their secondary structure includes four short double-helical elements and three loops (D, anti-codon, and T loops). The record is from RNAcentral. Lineage: Bacteria; Thermotogati; Thermotogota; Thermotogae; Thermotogales; Fervidobacteriaceae. RNAcentral also lists the same sequence under 4 other names.